UCCUACGGGAGGCAGCAGUGGGGAAUAUUGCACAAUGGGCGAAAGCCUGAUGCAGCGACGCCGCGUGAAGGAUGAAGUAUUUCGGUAUGUAAACUUCUAUCAGCAGGGAAGAAAAUGACGGUACCUGACUAAGAAGCCCCGGCUAACUACGUGCCAGCAGCCGCGGUAAUACGUAGGGGGCAAGCGUUAUCCGGAUUUACUGGGUGUAAAGGGAGCGUAGACGGUGAUGCAAGUCUGUUGUGAAAGCCCGGGGCUCAACCCCGGGACUGCUUUUGGAACUGU
RNAcentral lists this ribosomal RNA (282 nucleotides) under uncultured bacterium. Its description in RNAcentral is "partial 16S ribosomal RNA". It matches the Rfam family "Bacterial small subunit ribosomal RNA", at positions 337 to 636 of the family's 1533-position model. The record is from RNAcentral.